UCCUGAUCCACAGCCCCAGAGGUUGCA
Molecule: non-coding RNA, 27 nt
Filed under: Homo sapiens (human)
Lineage: Eukaryota; Metazoa; Chordata; Mammalia; Primates; Hominidae
Source: RNAcentral